UACGUAGGGUGCGAGCGUUAAUCGGAAUUACUGGGCGUAAAGCGUGCGCAGGCGGUUCGCCAAGUCAGGUGUGAAAUCCCCGGGCUUAACCUGGGAAUAGCGCUUGAAACUAGCGGGCUUGAGUGUGGCAGAGGGGGGUGGAAUUCCACGUGUAGCAGUGAAAUGCGUAGAGAUGUGGAGGAACACCGAUGGCGAAGGCAGCCCCCUGGGUCAACACUGACGCUCAUGCACGAAAGCGUGGGGAGCAAACAGG
Molecule: ribosomal RNA, 253 nt
Filed under: uncultured bacterium
Lineage: Bacteria
Description: partial 16S ribosomal RNA
Rfam family: Bacterial small subunit ribosomal RNA
Source: RNAcentral